UGAACGCUGGCGGUAUGCCUAACACAUGCAAGUCGUACGAGAGUUUUUAACUCUAGUGGCGGACGGGUGAGUAACACGUGAGAAUUUGCCUUUAGGAGGGGGAUAACAAUUGGAAACAAAUGCUAAUACCCCAUAUGCUUUAGAGUGAAAUGGAUUUAUAUUUAUCCGCCUAGAGAGAAGCUCGCGGCUGAUUAGCUUGUUGGUGAGGUAAGAGCUUACCAAGGCGACGAUCAGUAUCUGGUUUGAGAGGACGAUCAGACACACUGGAACUGAGACACGGUCCAGACUCCUACGGGAGGCAGCAGUGGGGAAUUUUCCGCGAUGGGCGAAAGCCUGACGGAGCAAUACCGCGUGAGGGAAGACUGCCUAUGGGUUGUAAACCCUCUUUUUUCAGGGAGGAAUCAUUGACGUGUACCUGAAGAAUAAGCAUCGGCUAACUCCGUGCCAGCA
Molecule: ribosomal RNA, 450 nt
Filed under: uncultured bacterium
Lineage: Bacteria
Description: bacterial SSU rRNA
Rfam family: Bacterial small subunit ribosomal RNA
Source: RNAcentral